RNAcentral lists this ribosomal RNA (88 nucleotides) under Gnetum gnemon. Lineage: Eukaryota; Viridiplantae; Streptophyta; Gnetopsida; Gnetales; Gnetaceae. The record is from RNAcentral.
UCCCAUCAGAACUCCGCAGUUAAGCGCGCUUGGGCUAGAGUAGUACUGGGAUGGGUGACCUCUCGGGAAGUCCUGGUGUUGCACCCUC